Molecule: ribosomal RNA, 440 nt
Filed under: uncultured bacterium
Lineage: Bacteria
Description: partial 16S ribosomal RNA
Rfam family: Bacterial small subunit ribosomal RNA
Source: RNAcentral
CCUACGGGUGGCAGCAGUAGGGAAUAUUGCUCAAUGGGGGAAACCCUGAAGCAGCAACGCCGCGUGGAGGAUGAAGGUUUUAGGAUUGUAAACUCCUUUUGUGAGAGAAGAUAAUGACGGUAUCCCACGAAUAAGCACCGGCUAACUCCGUGCCAGCAGCAGCGGUCAUACGGAGGGUGCAAGCGUUACUCGGAAUCACUGGGCGUCAAGAGUGCGCAGGCGGGCUUGUAAGUCAGGUGUGAAAUCCUUUAGCUUAAAUACAGAACUGCAUUUGAAACUAUGAGUCUAGAGAGUGGGAGAGGUAGGUGGAAUGCUUGGUGUAGGGGUAAAAUCCGUAGAUAUCAAGAGGAAUACUCAUUGCGAAGGCGACCUACUGGAACAGUACUGACGCUCAUGCACGAAAGCGUGGGGAGCAAACAGGAUUAGAUACCCGAGUAGUC